This 422-nucleotide ribosomal RNA is filed under the name uncultured bacterium. RNAcentral's name for it is "bacterial SSU rRNA". It matches the Rfam family "Bacterial small subunit ribosomal RNA", at positions 355 to 774 of the family's 1533-position model. The record is from RNAcentral.
UAAGGAAUAUUGGUCAAUGGAGGCAACUCUGAACCAGCCAUGCCGCGUGCAGGAAGACGGCCCUCUGGGUUGUAAACUGCUUUUAUUCGGGAAUAAACCUAUCUACGUGUAGAUGGCUGAAUGUACCGAAGGAAUAAGGAUCGGCUAACUCCGUGCCAGCAGCGGCGGUAAUACGGAGGAUCCAAGCGUUAUCCGGAUUUAUUGGGUUUAAAGGGUGCGUAGGCGGCCUAUUAAGUCAGGGGUGAAAGCCGGUAGCUCAACUAUCGCAGUGCCCUUGAUACUGAUGGGCUUGAGUGAGCUAGAGGUGGGUGGAAUGUGCCGAGUAGCGGUGAAAUGCGUAGAUAUGGGGAGGAACACCGAUUGCGAAGGCAGCUUACUGGGCUUUUAUUGACGCUGAGGCACGAAAGCGUGGGGAUCAAACA